Molecule: ribosomal RNA, 596 nt
Filed under: uncultured eukaryote
Lineage: Eukaryota
Description: SSU rRNA
Rfam family: Eukaryotic small subunit ribosomal RNA
Source: RNAcentral
UUGCAGUUAAAAAGCUCGUAGUUGGAUUUCUGGUCUGAUGCCCUGGCCCGCGCCUAAUUUGGUGUGAGUGCCGGUUGUGCGUCUGCCAUCCUUCUAGAAAACGUUCCUACCCUUCACUGGGCCGGGUUCGCGAUCUAAAUCUUUUACUUUGAAAAAAUUAGAGUGUUUAAAGCAGGCUUUUGCUAUGAAUACAUUAGCAUGGAAUAAUAAUCUAGGACUUCGGUUCUAUUUUGUUGGUUUCUAGUACUGAAGUAAUGAUUGAUAGGGAUAGUUGGGGGUGCUAGUAUUGAGCGGCCAGAGGUGAAAUUCUUGGAUUCGCUCAAGACUAACUUAUGCGAAAGCAUUCACCAAGGAUGUCUUCUUUAAUCAAGAACGAAAGUUGGGGGAUCGAAGACGAUCAGAUACCGUCGUAGUCUCAACCAUAAACUAUGCCAACUAGGGAUGAAUGAACGUUGCAUUUUCGACUUCAUUCGCACCUUAUGAGAAAUCAAAGUUUUUGGGUUCCGGGGGGAGUAUGGUCGCAAGGCUGAAACUUAAAGGAAUUGACGGAGGGGCACCGCCAGGAGUGGAGCCUGCGGCUUAAUUUGACUCAACAC